Molecule: ribosomal RNA, 971 nt
Filed under: Staphylococcus auricularis
Lineage: Bacteria; Bacillati; Bacillota; Bacilli; Caryophanales; Staphylococcaceae
Description: partial 16S ribosomal RNA
Rfam family: Bacterial small subunit ribosomal RNA
Source: RNAcentral
CUCAGGGGGGGUGGGAACCCCCUUAAAAGUUUGACCUGGGCCCAGGGGGGCGGGACGACCCCCUAAAAACUAUAAGACUGGAAUAACUCCGGGAAACCGGGGCUAAUGCCGGAUAACAUGUUGAACCGCAUGGUUCUACAGUGAAAGGCGGCUUUGCUGUCACUUAUAGAUGGACCCGCGCCGUAUUAGCUAGUUGGUGAGGUAACGGCUCACCAAGGCAACGAUACGUAGCCGACCUGAGAGGGUGAUCGGCCACACUGGAACUGAGACACGGUCCAGACUCCUACGGGAGGCAGCAGUAGGGAAUCUUCCGCAAUGGGCGAAAGCCUGACGGAGCAACGCCGCGUGAGUGAUGAAGGUCUUCGGAUCGUAAAACUCUGUUAUUAGGGAAGAACAAAUGCGUAAGUAACUGUGCGCGUCUUGACGGUACCUAAUCAGAAAGCCACGGCUAACUACGUGCCAGCAGCCGCGGUAAUACGUAGGUGGCAAGCGUUAUCCGGAAUUAUUGGGCGUAAAGCGCGCGUAGGCGGUUUUUUAAGUCUGAUGUGAAAGCCCACGGCUCAACCGUGGAGGGUCAUUGGAAACUGAAAAACUUGAGUGCAGAAGAGGAAAGUGGAAUUCCAUGUGUAGCGGUGAAAUGCGCAGAGAUAUGGAGGAACACCAGUGGCGAAGGCGACUUUCUGGUCUGUAACUGACGCUGAUGUGCGAAAGCGUGGGGAUCAAACAGGAUUAGAUACCCUGGUAGUCCACGCCGUAAACGAUGAGUGCUAAGUGUUAGGGGGUUUCCGCCCCUUAGGGCUGCAGCUAAAGCAUUAAGCACUCCGCCUGGGGAGUACGGCCGCAAGGCUUAAACUCAAAGGAAUUGACGGGGACCCGCACAAGCGGUGGAGCAUGUGGUUUAAUUCGAAGCAACCGCAAAAAACCUUACCAAAUCUUGACAUCCUUUGACCGCUUUAAAAAAAAAAGCUUCC